This 226-nucleotide unclassified non-coding RNA is filed under the name Hevea brasiliensis (rubber tree). The record is from RNAcentral. Lineage: Eukaryota; Viridiplantae; Streptophyta; Magnoliopsida; Malpighiales; Euphorbiaceae.
AUUUUCCUUUUUUUUUUUUUCCCCCUCCUAACUUCUAGUUGAGAGUUAUGUGGCGAUUUACCCAUCCUUGUUUAGCACGGUACAGUUGUAUGACUUGGAAUGUCUUUAUUUUUUUAUGUUUUAAUUUUUUGUGUAAGCAAUCAAGCAAAAUGCAAAUGUUAUUGAAAUUGAUUGUAAGAUGGAAAUGUUUUUCCCAUAAAGCCAUUACCUUCUUACUUGACCUGCU